UAGAUGCGAGAGUAGAGCAUAUCAAUAAGCGGAGGAAAAGAAACUAACAAGGAUUCCCCUAGUAACGGCGAGUGAAGCGGGAAGAGCUCAAAUUUGAAAUCUUAAAGGGUUUCCCUUUACGAAUUGUAGUUUAAAGAAGUGUUUUCUGUUGGAGUUUCGGUAAAAGUUCUUUGGAAUAGGACAUCAUAGAGGGUGAGAAUCCCGUAUUUGACCGUUACUUUCCAGCUGUGUGAUACACUUUCAAAGAGUCGGAUUGUUUGGGAAUGCAGUCCAAAAUGGGUGGUAAAUUUCAUCUAAAGCUAAAUAUUGGCGAGAGACCGAUAGCGAACAAGUACCGUGAGGGAAAGAUGAAAAGAACUUUGAAAAGAGAGUUAAACAGUACGUGAAAUUGUCAAAAGGGAAGCGUUUGACACCAGUGUUGUUUAGUUGAAAAUCAAUUCAAUAAUUUUUGAUUUUAAGUAGUAUUGACUUCAUCAGCUUGCUGCUUUCUUUUCAGGAAUUAUUGAAUGCACUUUUCAGUUAACAAGUCAACAUCAAUUUCUUUUGUUGUAAGAGGGUAAGAGGAAGGUGGCUUACGCUUCGGCGUAAGUGUUUAUAGCCUUUUACCUCUGCAAUCGGAGAGAUUGAGGACAGCAGCGUAGACUCCUUCGGGGUUAGAUACACUUGUGCUAAGCUAUAGCCUUGUAUAGACAACUUGUUGACUAUGCUCAGUCAUGUAGCUUACUCGCUUGUGCUAUUUUACCUACGCUUAGGAUGUUGACACACGCGCGUGCUCG
This 776-nucleotide ribosomal RNA is filed under the name uncultured Neocallimastigales. RNAcentral's name for it is "partial large subunit ribosomal RNA". It matches the Rfam family "Eukaryotic large subunit ribosomal RNA", at positions 22 to 605 of the family's 3401-position model. The record is from RNAcentral. Lineage: Eukaryota; Fungi; Neocallimastigomycota; Neocallimastigomycetes; Neocallimastigales.